ACGAGACACGUGAAACCUUGUGGGAAGCAGGGAGGACCACCUCCCAAGGCUAAAUACUACCUGAUGACCGAUAGUGAAGCAGUACCGUGAGGGAAAGGUGAAAAGAACCCCGGGAGGGGAGUGAAAUAGAACCUGAAACCGUGUGCCUACAACCGCUCAGAGCCCCUUAUGAGGGUGAUGAGGUGCUUUUUGUAGAACGAGCCAACGAGUUACGGUAUGUAGCAAGGUUAAGUACUUAAGGUACGGAGCCGAAGGGAAACCGAGUCUGAAUAGGGCGACUAGUUGCAUGCCGUAGACCCGAAACCGGGUGACCUAUCCAUGGCCAGGUUGAAGCGAGGGUAAAACCUCGUGGAGGACCGAACCACGUUGCUGUUGAAAAAGCAUGGGAUGAGCUGUGGAUAGCGGAGAAAUUCCAAUCGAACCCGGAGAUAGCUGGUUCUCUCCGAAAUAGCUUUAGGGCUAGCGUCGAGUAUGAGUAGUGGAGGUAGAGCACUGAAUGGGCUAGGGGGCAUAGCGCUUACCGAACCUUAUCAAACUCCGAAUGCCACAUACUUUGAGCUCGGCAGUCAGACUACGAAUGAUAAGAUCCGUGGUCAAAAGGGAAACAGCCCAGAUCGUCAGCUAAGGUCCCAAAGUGUAAGUUAAGUGGGAAAGGAUGUGAGAUUUCUAAGACAACUAGGAUGUUGGCUUAGAAGCAGCCAUUCAUUAAAAGAGUGCGUAAUAGCUCACUAGUCGAGAGAUCUUGCGCCGAAAAUGUAACGGGGCUAAACUUACCACC
RNAcentral lists this ribosomal RNA (778 nucleotides) under Clostridium perfringens. RNAcentral describes it as "partial 23S ribosomal RNA". It matches the Rfam family "Bacterial large subunit ribosomal RNA", at positions 417 to 1195 of the family's 2925-position model. Lineage: Bacteria; Bacillati; Bacillota; Clostridia; Eubacteriales; Clostridiaceae. The record is from RNAcentral.